Molecule: long non-coding RNA, 1188 nt
Organism: Carya illinoinensis
Lineage: Eukaryota; Viridiplantae; Streptophyta; Magnoliopsida; Fagales; Juglandaceae
Exons: 2
Source: RefSeq, a predicted model, not a curated record
UAAAAUGAUAACAAUAUUAUUUACUUAUGAACUAUGGUAGAAAUUAAAAUGAAGAUUUUUUAUGCAAAUUUCAGUAUGCUUGCGGUGUGUAUCCUAACAACAUGUUAUCAGAAAGGAAAGAUUCAAAAAAUUCAACGAAAAUACCUCAGAUGUUUAAGUUAGUGACGAAUUAUGCUCUUGUUGUAACUAAUAAAUCUAUGAAUUAAUGGUACUAAUAGGCUACUUAUAAAGAUUGAAGUGACUCAAUAUGGCAAGACCUCUCUAUAGGUACAAUUCUCGGUGCCCAAUUUGGUAUAUUGCAUUGUCUAGCACAAUUUGACCGUGCAAAUAUCCCACUUUAGCACUUGAGCUUCCCUUCAUAGAUUCGUAUCACGUUGAAAUGCGGUCGUUGUCUUUAUUCCUAAGGGCAAGCACUACAGAAAAAGUGUGAAGGUCACCCCUUGGGGGAAAAAAAUACGCUCGAGGCCAGCAUAAGCGUUGGCACCCAAAGCAAACAAAGAGAGCUCGCACCGAGCAAGCAACAACAACUCGCAUCGGACAAGCAAUGAGUGCUGGCAUACAGGCUAGAACAAUCAAUGCUCUAUUUACACUACGGUGGGAGAUUCAUAAAAGAAAUGUUUGAAACGCAAAAGCGCGGAAGUCCCUCGUGCUUACCAUCAUUACGCAACGCUUACAGCCAAAUAUUACAACGCAAGUCCUCAAGAAUACUAGCCCUCCAGAAUAAUAGAAUUGGGGGGCAGGAAAAGCUUAUUCUCAACUGUUUUCCAGAGUUGCCAAAUAAUACAAUGAAUCAGACACUCAAGAAGUUCUUCUCCUUCAAGCUCUCAACAGUAUCCUUCAAACUCACCUCCACAGAAGUGAAGCUAAGGCCUAAACUUUGUGCUCUCUCCUUAGACACUUUGUAGGUUGUUGGAAAAGGCUUGUCAUCUGCACAUCUGCAAUGUACAAAACGCAAAUCAAUUGUCGCAACUGGUAGCUGAGGUGAGUUAUAACACAGACUAUCCAAUUAACAAGUCACAGAUUCAAACUAGAAUUUUGGUGCUUGAGAUAUAAACACAAAAAUCGUUUGUAACAGACCAAGGAAAUCAAGCCAUGCAGAAAAUUAUAACCUACCUGUUUGUUGUAUGAACAUAUACAGUGAAUCUUCAAUGGCUACACCAGUGUGAAUGGAAAAUUGACUUUUGUGUG